AUUGAACGCUGUCGGCAGGCCUAACACAUGCAAGUCGAGCGGCAGCGGGAAAGUAGCUUGCUACUUUUGCCGGCGAGCGGCGGACGGGUGAGUAAUGCCUGGGGAUCUGCCCAGUCGAGGGGGAUAACUACUGGAAACGGUAGCUAAUACCGCAUACGCCCUACGGGGGAAAGCAGGGGGCCUUCGGGCCUUGCGCGAUUGGAUGAACCCAGGUGGGAUUAGCUAGUUGGUGAGGUAACGGCUCACCAAGGCGACGAUCCCUAGCUGGUCUGGGAGGAUGAUCGUCCACACUGGAACUGAGACGCGGUCAAGACUGCUACGGGAGGCAGCAGUGGGGAAUAUUGCACAAUGGGGGAAACCCUGAUGCAGCCAUGCCGCGUGUGUGAAGAAGGCCUUCGGGUUGUAAAGCACUUUCAGCGAGGAGGAAAGGUCAGUAGCUAAUAUCUGCUGGCUGUGACGUUACUCGCAGAAGAAGCACCGGCUAACUCCGUGCCAGCAGCCGCCGUAA
This 508-nucleotide ribosomal RNA is filed under the name uncultured bacterium. RNAcentral's name for it is "partial 16S ribosomal RNA". It matches the Rfam family "Bacterial small subunit ribosomal RNA", at positions 29 to 523 of the family's 1533-position model. The record is from RNAcentral.